Molecule: ribosomal RNA, 427 nt
Filed under: uncultured bacterium
Lineage: Bacteria
Description: bacterial SSU rRNA
Rfam family: Bacterial small subunit ribosomal RNA
Source: RNAcentral
UGGGGAAUUUUGGACAAUGGGCGAAAGCCUGAUCCAGCCAUGCCGCGUGCAGGAUGAAGGCCUUCGGGUUGUAAACUGCUUUUGUCAGGGAAGAAAUCCUUUGAGCUAAUACCUCGGGGGGAUGACGGUACCUGAAGAAUAAGCACCGGCUAACUACGUGCCAGCAGCCGCGGUAAUACGUAGGGUGCAAGCGUUAAUCGGAAUUACUGGGCGUAAAGCGCACGCAGGCGGUCUGUCAAGUCGGAUGUGAAAUCCCCGGGCUCAACCUGGGAACUGCAUUUGUGACUGCAUAGCUAGAGUACGGCAGAGGGGGAUGGAAUUCCGCGUGUAGCAGUGAAAUGCGUAGAUAUGCGGAGGAACACCGAUGGCGAAGGCAAUCCCCUGGACCUGUACUGACGCUCAUGCACGAAAGCGUGGGGAGCAAACA